RNAcentral lists this unclassified non-coding RNA (231 nucleotides) under Hevea brasiliensis (rubber tree). The record is from RNAcentral. Lineage: Eukaryota; Viridiplantae; Streptophyta; Magnoliopsida; Malpighiales; Euphorbiaceae.
UCCACCAACUAUAAACAGGAUAUCCUUUGUAUCUAUCUGUAUGUUAUCACCUCGAGGAUGCUUCCUUGCUCCCUUCUCAGGAACAUUCACAAUAGUUCCUUCUAGCAUUUUCAAUAAUGCUUGCUGGACACCCUCACCUGAAACAUCUCUGCUAAUGUUUAAACUCUCAGCCUUCUUAGUUAUUUUGUCAACUUCAUCAAUGUAGACUAUCCCUUGCUGAGCUGCUUGCAC